UACAGAGGUCUCAAGCGUUGUUCGGAUUCAUUGGGCGUAAAGGGUGCGUAGGUGGCGUCGUAAGUGGGGUGUGAAAUCCCGGGGCUUAACCCCGGGACUGCAUUCCAUACUGCGGUGCUUGAGGACUGGAGAGGAGACUGGAAUUUACGGUGUAGCAGUGAAAUGCGUAGAGAUCGUAAGGAAGACCAGUGGCGAAGGCGGGUCUCUGGACCGGUACUGACGCUGAUGCGCGAAAGCGUGGGGAGCAAACGGG
This 253-nucleotide ribosomal RNA is filed under the name uncultured bacterium. Its description in RNAcentral is "partial 16S ribosomal RNA". It matches the Rfam family "Bacterial small subunit ribosomal RNA", at positions 524 to 776 of the family's 1533-position model. The record is from RNAcentral.